Long non-coding RNA from Humulus lupulus (European hop), 416 nucleotides. RefSeq lists it as uncharacterized. The transcript is spliced from 2 exons. The record is from RefSeq and is a predicted model, not a curated record. Lineage: Eukaryota; Viridiplantae; Streptophyta; Magnoliopsida; Rosales; Cannabaceae.
GAUAGCCAUGAGCCUAGACUAGAUUAAGGAAUGUGGGUGUUUCCCUAAUUAUAGAAUUCUAUGGAAGAGAGAGAGUAGGCAUGUGGGAAGUGAAGACCGAGGAAAAGAAUUGUUUCCUUAUUUAGCUAGGUUGACAUAUUCUUUUCUUUAAUAAUUUUAAUUUAAAGGAAAAAUAAAAGUAAAAUAGAAUUUGGGAAAGUUCAAUUUUCCCACCUACACUUAGGCUUCGACCAUUAGGCCCUUAAAUAGAAAAAAUGAGAGCAUGAAGAGCUCUUAGGGUAGAGAGAGAGAUAGCUCAUGAGGAGGAGAAAGAGAGAAGGGUUUCGUAAACCUAGGAGGAGCAAAGAUCUCUGUCUCAUGUGUUGAGAACCAACCCACACUAGUUCUUGGUUGAUCAAAGGCUUGGUGCGGAAGAC